GUGAGAUCCAUCCCCUGCCUGCAAAACAUUUCUCCUAACUCCACCACCUAUUCCAAAACCUAUAAGAACUAAUGAUAAUCCCGCCACCCUUUGCUGACUCUCUUUUCGGACUCAGCCCACCUGCACCCAGGUGAAAUAAACAGCCUUGUUGCUCACACAAAGCCUGUUUCGUGGUCUUUUCACACGGACGCGUGAGACAUUUGGUGCCAAAGACCCAGGUCAGAGGGACUCCUUUGGGAGACCAGUCCCCUGUCCUCACCCUCACUCCGUGAAGAGCUCCAUCUAUGACCUCGGGUCCUCAGACCAACCAGCCCAAAGAAUACCUCAGCAAUUUCAAAUAGGACUUUGUUGCCCCCACGACCUAGUGUUGGGUCUGAUCACCCCAACAUUCCUGGCUUCCCAACGUGGGGUGACGAAGGCCCCAGUGAAGAAAGGCUAGAGCAUGUGAAAGUGGAGGACACAUCAUCAAAGGACACCUGAAGACGUCUAAAAGAAGCUCAGCAGGAAAGCUGAGCACUUGGAAGAACCAGGAAGAUCAACCCAUGACUGCAGCUGAACAACACCUGACAGGAUAAAAGGAAAAUAAAAAGGCUGGACAAGAUAUAUGGUGGAGGGAUGCACAUACAAAGAGCUGGGAAAAAGGAAUGAUAAUUUUAUGGGGAAGAGGAUUUGCUUGUGUCUCUCCACGUGACAAUCAGGUGCCUGUGUGGGUGCCCACCAAACAUCUGAAGAUCUAUCAUGAACCACAGCAUCUAGUGGACACACCUAUACAGUGCAAAUGGAAGGUUUAAGGAUUGCUUUUAAGCCUCAAUUUGCUUUCUCUGUGCCUUCUGUUAGAAGAGUCCUGCUUCUCAUUAUCAAUGGUAAGUUUUGCCCUGCAGUAAUUAACCAAAGAGGCAGAAGCUGAGUUACAAAUGCUUCAGCAAUGGCACGCCUCCUGGGUACAGCCACAAAAGUUUUUGCUUCUGUUUCAGUAGAUUUACUAACGUGGGGGUGAGGGUAUGCUUGUGUUUUGCAGGUGAUGAACAAACCAUGUAGGUGCCCUCAAGAUGUGUACGACCAUGAAACAGGAGACUGGAAGGGCCCAUGGAUCCCAACCAUGGACCUGGUUCCCCCAGUAUGAGCCAUGCUGAGAAACUGCUGGAGCACCAGGGUUUUACCUAUUGAUGCUUAACGGACCAAUGCUUUCUGACUGAACGCCUCUCUACCCUGAAUUUACAAGAGACCCUAAUAGACUUUGUUGCCUCAACGACCUGGUGCUGGGUUUGAUCACCCCAACACUGAAUGACCAGGAUGACUCCUUCACUCUUAUAUCUGGUGAACAUGCUGGUGUGGAUGGAACAGUAAGAGCAUGGAAGGAGCUCUCUCUCCUUGCAGCCUCUUAGGUGGCUGGCCUGGGCUUCCUCACAACAUAGUGGUCACAGGUUCUGCUCACUGAUAAAACUACUGACGUCAGCUGUUCUGAAGGACCCAGCAAGGAGCUGACUCAUGGAAGAUUGCAGUUUCUACCUAAUGAUCUCAUCCUCCUUACCCUGACCAAUCAAUGACCCCAAUUUUCCAGCCCCUCAUCAUCCAUGAUCCACUUAAAAACCUUUCCCCAGAACUCCUUGGAGAGAUGGAUUUGAGACUUGAGGAUUCCAUCUUUCUCCUCACUCAGUGGCCUUGGGAUUACUAAGCUCCUUCUCUGCUGCAAACCCCACUGUCUCAGUGUAUUGGUUUAUUGCUAUACACAGGCAAACAAAUCUGCCAAUCCUAUAAGACUUAGGAGUCUCCAAAAGUCUCUUAGACUCAGAUUUGGGAUUUUACCUGGGUGGAGGUAGAUCUCUUUGUCUCUCUUACUGAUACUCUGUGAAUAAUUAAAAGUGGGAGAGGGUGUGAAUUUUAAAAUCUUUGAAAACAACCCUACCUUUGCAUGAUUGUGUUUCUCUAAAUAGACUUAUGGGGUG
Molecule: long non-coding RNA, 1946 nt
Filed under: Homo sapiens (human)
Lineage: Eukaryota; Metazoa; Chordata; Mammalia; Primates; Hominidae
Description: HSALNT0129675
Source: RNAcentral